AGAGUUUGAUCCUGGCUCAGGACGAACGCUGGCGGCAUGCCUCACACAUGCAAGUCGAACGAUCCGGCACUCAACUAAGAGUUUAAAAAGAAGUAAUCUAUAGAAGAUAUUCCAAGGUAGAAAAUAGUGGAUAUCAACUAUUGAACUCUGAGUUGAGUGCCGGAUAGUGGCGGACGGGUGAGUAACACGUGGGCAACCUGCCCUACAGAUCGGGAUACCAUCGGGAAACUGAUGUUAAUACCGGAUACGUUCUAAGGAUCGCCUGAUUCUUAGAAGAAAGAUUUUAUCGCUGUAGGAUGGGCCCGCGGUCCAUUAGCUAGUUGGUAGGGUAACGGCCUACCAAGGCGACGAUGGAUAGCUGGUCUGAGAGGACGAUCAGCCACACUGGGACUGAGACACGGCCCAGACUCCUACGGGAGGCAGCAGUGGGGAAUAUUGCGCAAUGGGGGCAACCCUGACGCAGCAAUGCCGCGUGAAGGAUGAAGGCUUUCGGGUCGUAAACUUCUGUCUAGAGGGAUGAAUUUUUGACAGUACCUCUGGAGGAAGCCCCGGCUAACUACGUGCCAGCAGCCGCGGUAAUUC
Molecule: ribosomal RNA, 582 nt
Filed under: uncultured Anaerobranca sp.
Lineage: Bacteria; Bacillati; Bacillota; Clostridia; Eubacteriales; Proteinivoracaceae
Description: bacterial SSU rRNA
Rfam family: Bacterial small subunit ribosomal RNA
Source: RNAcentral